GCUGCGAAGCUCUGCUGGCUGUUGCCAUCACCGGGCAUGCUUCAUAGCGAUGAUGAAUUGGCUUGGGGAUCUGUGAUUUUGAGCAGCGGCUUUGGAAGUUGGGGCGAUAGCACAAGAGAAGUUCAGAGUCCUACCUUCUAGGGUGAAAAUCCAAGGUGUGGCAUUAAUUGGUUGUACCUGCCAAUGACCUUUUUCAAGACAUUGUUUUUGGGAGCGACGACUUUUAUUCAGGGUGAAAACCUAAGAUCUAUGAUCGAACGACGACGGCGCUUGUGCGCUGUUUUCUUCUUGGAUGCGUCAUUUUUUGGAGAACUUGCACUUCUAGUGCUGUCUAGGUGGUGUUAGUACUGUGCUGCUUCAAAGAAUAGAUCUCAGUAGCGGGACUGUUUCUUUUAGUGCAAUUCUUUUUUUGGCUGUGUGCAUCUGUAAUGCCUCUAGGGCAGCGCGUUGUUACAUAGACGGUGUUACAAGGAUAAAGUUCCACCUUGCUUGCAUUAAAGGAUUCAAUGUUAAACCUUGCCCAAAGGUAGUGAUGUCAAGAAAGAGAUGACUAUGUUGCUCCUGAUGAGUAAUGAUGCAAAGGAGAAGAAAAUAGAGGCAUUGGAAAAUGUGAGAGGUAAAGUUAACUUGGAUCACUCGGAGGGAGAAGAAUCUGAUGAAGAUAAUGGCAAUGCUAUUGUGAUGCUGAAGUCAAAACCCAACACUAGUAGCCUCAAAAGUGGAUCUAUUGAUAAGUUCUACAGGUCAAGUACUAUAGAAGAAUCUGUCCAGAAGAAAAGCCUUAGUGAAAAGACUCAGUCAAAACUGUCAACACAAGAAAGAGAGGUGAAGAGGAAUAGAGCUUGUGAGUACAUAUGCCAAUUCUUCUAUGAAGCUAGCAUCCCACACAACGUUGUCACACUUCCUAGCUUUGCUUGUAUGCUUGAGGCUGUAGGACGUUUUGGCAAAGAUUUGCAAGGGCCUAGUGCAUAUGAGAUGAGUGGGCCAUUUUUGCAGAAAAGGAAGAAAAAGGUGAUGGAUACAUUCAAGAGCCAUAGGGAAACAUGGGAGCUUACCGGAUGUACAGAGCAUGACUCAUGACUGAUGCGUGGAAAGAUAGAAAGCACAGGGGAGUAAUGAACCCAGUUGUUCAUAGUGCUCACGGUGCUUUAUUUUUGAACUCGGUUGAUUGCUCGGCUGUCAAAAAAGAUGGCAGAUACAUUUUUGUGCUUGUUGAUCAGUGCAUUGAAGAUAUAUGGGCUGAAAAGGUUAUACAAGUGGUGACUGACAAUGCUAGUGUCAAUAUAGCUGCAGCAAAUCUAUUAAAAGCAAAGAGACCCUCCAUUUUUUGGAAUGGAUGUGCAGCCCACACAAUUGAUCUCAUGUUGGAGGACAUAGGGAAUCUUACAGAGGUUGACAAAACAAUUACCCAAGCAAGGCAAUUGAUUGUGUUCUUGUAUGCUCAUAUAAGGGUGUUGGCUUUGAUGAGGAGUGUCCUUAAGAAAGACCUCGUGCGCUCGGGUGUUACAGGGUUUGGCACAACUUAUCUCAAUCUAAAAAGCUUGAAAGAUACCAAGAAUGGGCUGCAAAAACUAUUCAGAUCAGAUGAGCUACAUGAGAUGGGCUACUUAAAUAAGGGCAAAGGGGACAAAGCUAAAAAAGUGGUGAAAUCUGAAGCCUUUUGGAAACGUGUUGAUAUUUCUGUCGAUUUCUUUGAGCCAAUGGCCAAUGUGUUGAGAAGAAUGGAUAGUGAUGUGCCAGCAAUGGGAUUCUUCUAUGGUUGCAUGUUAGAUGCAAAAAAAAGAAAUUUUGUUGAGGUUCGACAAUGACGAGAGCCACUGCAGAUCUGUUUUGGAUAUCAUCGACAAUCGUUGUGACAACAAGCUCAAGAAGCCUCUACAUUUGGCUGGUUACUGUUUGAACCCCUACUACUACUAUCCAAACAAGGGUCAGAUUGAAAAACAAGGAAAAUUUAGAGCAGCCUUUACGACGAUGAUUGAGGAAGAUGACGAACAAGAUGUGAUGAUUGAAGAAAUCAAGACAUAUCGAGCUGGGAAGGAGUCUUUUGGAACUGAUAUUGCCACAAGACAGAGGAAGAACCAAAACUUUGAUCCAGCAACAUGGUGGCUGAAUCAUGACACAAGCUCACCAAACUUGAACAAUUUGGCGGUAAAGAUUCUUAGUCUGACAUGCAGCUCAUCCGCUCGUGAGAGAAAUUUUUCAGCAUUUGAACAUGUCCAUACAAAGAAGCGCAGUAGGCUACUUGUGAUAGGCUUAAAGACCUUGUCUUUGUCAAAGUCAACUCAAGGAUGAUUGAUAAGAGAGAGAACAAGAGAAGAGAUCCCAUAGAGAAGAUAAUUGAGGAUGCUCUGGACGAUGACUAGAACGAGUCCAUUACUGGGAUUGUUCCUGAAGCCAUUGUUGAAGUCGAACAAGAACAACCUGAUAUUGAAAAUCAAUAACCAGAAGCAUCAACAUCACAAGCCCACCGAAAGAGACAUGCACACAUUAGGAAGAAGAGGAAGAAGAGCAUCCAUUCUUUGCUUAAUUCUGUCCAAGAAGACGCUGUACUUUCUGAUUCUUCCAAUUCUUCAUCAUCGGAAUCAGAAGGUAAUCAACCUCCACAUGAUGACAAGCUCUCUGAUGCUUCAGAUGACUCAGAGUGAUCGCAGGCAUGUCUUGUUGGUUAUGUAAACUUGCUAUUGCUUGCUGUGAACCAAAACUUUGUUGUGAACUUGGUGUAGCUCUGUUGUUGAUAUGUAAUUUGUGGACAAAACAAGGUCCUGAACUUUCUGUUGCUACAUGCUACUUGCUUUUGUUGGUUAUGUAAUAUUUGGACAGAACUAUGUCUUAAAUUGUUGCCUCUUA
Molecule: long non-coding RNA, 2847 nt
Organism: Lolium rigidum
Lineage: Eukaryota; Viridiplantae; Streptophyta; Magnoliopsida; Poales; Poaceae
Exons: 3
Source: RefSeq, a predicted model, not a curated record